UCGUCGACCGUGAUGUCUUCUCUUACCUUGCGUUUCUCGCCGGCGUUUACACGGCGGAGGGCUUACAUGGCUCUGAAAUCAAUAAAGAGGAGACGGAGGAAAGCUUACACGGCUCUGGAUUUGUGAUUUCCUUAGAUGAACAACACCAUCUCUGCUAAUUAUUAAUCCUAUAAUUUUAUUUCUUCUCGUUGGAAACUCCGGCCAAGCGUUUCAUGUAUCUCCGAUCCGAUUCCGAAACUUAAAUUAAAACUGCAGUUUGAAGCCCAAACCCAACAUCCUUUG
Long non-coding RNA from Arabidopsis thaliana (thale cress), 282 nucleotides. RefSeq annotates it as other RNA. The transcript has a single exon. Lineage: Eukaryota; Viridiplantae; Streptophyta; Magnoliopsida; Brassicales; Brassicaceae. The record is from RefSeq.